Canis lupus familiaris (dog) is the source of this 3255-nucleotide long non-coding RNA. RefSeq lists it as uncharacterized. The record is from RefSeq and is a predicted model, not a curated record. Lineage: Eukaryota; Metazoa; Chordata; Mammalia; Carnivora; Canidae. The transcript is spliced from 3 exons.
CAGAAAAAAAUUCAACGGGUUUCAGGGUCAAUGUACUUGGCUGAGAUCCAACAACCGCACUGCAGCCCCGGUAGAGCUGGGGGCACCGGGAACCUCGGACCGUCCAGCCCUGCGCAGGAUCAUCGGCGAGAAGGAAGCCCGCAGCGGUACUGCCUGCCAGAUGUGUGCGUGCAAGUAAAACAGCAGUCAUAAUGUGGAAAUUUCAGUCACAUUUUGCAACUAAUUGGAAGCAGAUUAGAAUUCCGCCUCGGGGGAACGUUGUCAAACUAGAAGCCGGAGCAAAUGAAGAAAGAGAUUUGGUGGCAGUGGCAGCACCAGAAGGAGACGUCCAAAGGCACUGGGGACACAGAAGGAGAAACGCAGGCAUGGUAUCCUUGAGAACUUUGAGUUGUCUUUCUCAUCAUUUCCAAAGGGAAGGCCAUGGAUGAGUUCCUCUCAGUUCUGGUUUCCACUCUCUUGGCGUAGAGCUUCUGAUCUAACUGGCUUUCCAAAGUUCCUCAUUUGAUUGAAAUCCCUCCCCAAAGUCUCUCCCCACUGCUUCAAGAUUCCACAUUGGGUAAUGCUAGUGGUUAUUAGACUGAGUCCAACUUGAAAAACCAGCCUGGGCCUGGAAUUGGACUGGGUCUGAUUUAAGCUGGACUGUGCCUGAUUUGAGCUAUUCUGGGUCCUGUGCAAAGCCUUGGGUGAAUGAAAUUUUAAGUCAAGGCUAUUGUUCGUGGGAAUCUUGAAGACUACAAAAACAAAAACAAAAAGAAACACAAAAGGCCACAAAAUUGAUGGCACUGGUCAAGUCAUUUAAAGGUGUUACAGUGCUCACCAAACUCGAGCCUUACCUAUUGGAUAAAUUGAUGCAACAGGAUAAGAUUGACACACUAGGUCACCUGCCAACCUCAAGAAAAUUUCUGUGCAAUAAGACACAAUGUAAAACACCACAUGAUCCCCAACCCAGUUGACAUACCCCUCUUAGGUGUUAGUCUGGCUCCAAGACAACCAAAGACUUACCCCCCUCCCCUCAAAAAAGGAUCCUUAAAACCCAAAGAGUUAAGUGCGCCACCUUCUGGCAUACCGGCUUAUUUGGUGUCUAAGAACUAUGGUCUCAGAAGCCAAAGAUCAAUUUUUUAAAAACAGCAAAAACCUUACUGAGCUUGUUUUCAGUCCUAAGAACUUGACUAGGUAACUGUAAGGUUUGAGGGUUCCAAAAUACGGCCAGACACAAAAACAGGUUAAACUCCAUUGGCAGGUUCCUAUGCUCAGGGAACUUAGGCCAUUAUGAGGAAAGCUCCAAUGAGAUAAGAUCAUUGAAGAAGUAGGCUUAAAAGCAAGGGUUCCCAAAUCAACCAAACAAAACUGCCCAUCUACUUUAAGCCUCUAAGGUCUUCAAAAUUCCAAAAUAACUAAAUUGAAAGAUUCACUGCAAAAGGGCAAUGAAAAAUUAAAAGUACAAAAGGUUCCUAAAACAAGAAACUUUAAGAUGGAUGUAAUCCCACUGUUCUCCUCCACCGUUUCAGUACUCAAUCUAUUGAUCCUUUAUCUAAAUCGACUUUUCACCCUGAAAAGACUUGUAAACACUUUUAAAAUAAGACCACCCAAGGCUCCAAGUGACCCUCUUCAAGUAUCUUUCACUCCUUGGUCAAAGGCCAAACUAAGGGCCAUAAGUUUAAAAAUUAAAUUUCCUAAACCCGGGGGACAUCCUCAAAAGUUUCUGUUGACAGAUUAUCUUCUAAGAUUAAUGAAUUAAUAAAAAGACAGAAAAUAAAAGAAUGAGGUCAUGACUAAAGGUGAACACUUUGAAACGACCAUGACAGUGAACAAAAUUGGCCAAAUUAAUAAAAUCUUAAAAAAAAAAAUUGGCCAAAUUAGAGGUCUAACAGCCAACCCAUUAUCUACUCUUGGAGGAUCCCAUAGAGCUGUCCCCCCACCCCCACCUGCCCCGCAGAGUUGCGGAGACUCAGAAAUUUUCUGGUAGAAUGCUGUUAUUCCCAUUAAAAGCCAAGGGAAAACCAAAAUUAAAAUUAAUGAAAUUAAUGAAUUCUGGUGCAUACUUUAAACCCAACUUGAAGCCUACAGAUGGGAUCCUGAGAAAAUUAACAAAAGCCAGCUAAGGAUGAAAAUUCAUACCAGAGUCACCUAUCCCAAAUCUCUGUAGCACCCAGUAGAGAGAGGAAAAUAAAGUAUUUUUAGCACCAUCUCUGGGGACAGCUCGUGUCCAAGGUGUUGUUCAAGAUUGCCAGAAAUAUUUACUGUUUGUCCCAGGUGAGAACUGACAAAAUAUUUCCAAGUUUUUUUUUCCCCCCAGUAGAUGGCCAAAUUGGAAGCUAUUAUUCAGAACAUGAUACGAUGUUUUCAGGCCUUCCCCUAAACUAAACUAAAACUGCACCCAGAAAGUAAGAAUAGCCUUCUAAAGUCUUUGCGGAAAGACUCCUAAAAUUCUCAAAAAAUAUAAAAACCCCAACUCCUUUUUCAAUUUCACGUGAUCUAAAAUUGUUUUGUGUGUAACAACUAGAUUGAGGUUGUUGGUUUAAUUGAAAUAGGUGUGUCUUUAAAGUUACCAACAUUGAAUAAAACACAGAUGUACAACUUUUAUUCUACCUGAGUUUACUAAUCAAGUAAGUUCAUGAUAUCUCUGCUACAACAUUUAUCAACCAGAAAAAUAACUUGGGAUAUAUAAUGAAAUUUUCAUAGGUAAUUAAACAUAAUUGUUAAGAACAGAUGAGUUAAAUAGAUGCAAAUGAGAUAAAGUUUGUGAACUUUUCAGCAACUUGCCUCCAAAAUUUUUUAGCUACUUGAAACAAACUUUUGCCAAGUCAAGUUAAAUGACAAAUUAAGUCAAGGCCACCGAAUAAAUAUCUGGAUCAUCUCCAAAUAAAAUAAAACAGUGAAACUAAAUACUUGGGUCCAAUAGUAAACAUAUUUUGUGCCACAGCGAAUUUGCUAUGAGAAAACAUUUAUUUCUAAAAAUUAUGCAAAAUAUUUAUAAAUUUGCCAAGCUACUAUAACAGUGUACAAUUGUUUACUUAUUUUUCACAAGAACAUAAAGUUUUUAAGGGUUAAAAAUUCUAAUGUAUGUGGAGCACCUGAGUGGCUCAGUCAGUUAAGUGUCUCCCUUCUGCUCAGGUCAGGAUCCCAGAGACUUGGGAUUGUGCCCCAUAUGAGUCCCAUUUCGAGCUCUCUGCUCAGUGAGGAACCUGCUUCUCCCUCUCCCUCUGCCUGACGCUCCUCCUGCUUGUUCACUUGCUCUCUCUCGAUCUCUCUAAU